GAUGAACGUUGGCGGCGUGCCUAAUACAUGCAAGUCGAGCGAACAGAUGAGGAGCUUGCUCCUCUGACGUUAGCGGCGGACGGGUGAGUAACACGUGGAUAACCUACCUAUAAGACUGGGAUAACUUCGGGAAACCGGAGCUAAUACCGGAUAAUAUAUUGAACCGCAUGGUUCAAUAGUGAAAGACGGUUUUGCUGUCACUUAUAGAUGGAUCCGCGCCGCAUUAGCUAGUUGGUAAGGUAACGGCUUACCAAGGCAACGAUGCGUAGCCGACCUGAGAGGGUGAUCGGCCACACUGGAACUGAGACACGGUCCAGACUCCUACGGGAGGCAGCAGUAGGGAAUCUUCCGCAAUGGGCGAAAGCUUGACGGAGCAACGCCGCGUGAGUGAUGAAGGUCUUCGGAUCGUAAAACUCUGUUAUUAGGGAAGAACAAAUGUGUAAGUAACUAUGCACGUCUUGACGGUACCUAAUCAGAAAGCCACGGCUAACUACGUG
This 497-nucleotide ribosomal RNA is filed under the name uncultured bacterium. RNAcentral describes it as "partial 16S ribosomal RNA". It matches the Rfam family "Bacterial small subunit ribosomal RNA", at positions 28 to 507 of the family's 1533-position model. The record is from RNAcentral.